CCCGGAUAACAACACUAGACGCAUGUCUAGAGUUUAAAAGAUGGGUUCUGCUAUCACUCUUGGGAUGGGACCCUGCGGUGCAUUAGCUAGUUGGUAAGGUAACGGGCUUUACCAAGGCAAUGAUGCAUAGCCCGAGUUGAGAGACUGAUCGGGCCACAUUGGGGACUGAGACACGGGCCCAAAACUCCUACGGGGAGGCAGCAGUAGGGAAUCUUCCACAAUGGACGCAAGUCUGAUGGAGCAACGCCGCGUGAGUGAAGUAAGGGUUUCGGCUACGUAAAGCUCUGUUGGUAGUGAAGAAAGAUAGAGGUAGUAACUGGUCCUUUAUUUGACGGUAAUUACUUAGAAGUCACGGCUAACUACGUGCCAGCAGCCGCGGUAAU
This 383-nucleotide ribosomal RNA is filed under the name uncultured Lactobacillus sp. Its description in RNAcentral is "bacterial SSU rRNA". It matches the Rfam family "Bacterial small subunit ribosomal RNA", at positions 168 to 524 of the family's 1533-position model. Lineage: Bacteria; Bacillati; Bacillota; Bacilli; Lactobacillales; Lactobacillaceae. The record is from RNAcentral.